UUUUUUUUCUUAUUCAUCUCCAGUUUUGUGCACAGAGGGUGGGUGUGGCAUUUGUGAUCUAUUAUUGUUAAUGGCCUCCAUUUAAAAUCAUUUUAUUGGCUGUCAUUUGCCUGCCAUGUCAAGCCUAUUUUAAUGAAGCAUUUGCUUUUCUAGCUGCAUAGAAUUAUUUUAAGAAAGAUAAUGAGAAAUGGGGACUCUAAGUGGCCUACAGUUCAAUAGAAGAAAGCUAAAAGCCCACCCAAACAUGAUAGUAACCACUGUUUUCUCUGCACUAGGAAAAAGCAGCCGUAGAAUUGUUGAUUAGUCUUGCAGAAGGCUAUAGUUCUCGCUGUCAUCCGGUUUUUCAGCUUAAAAAACAGGUGCUGAGCUGUGAGGAGAGCAUCAGGGUUUGGGCUCUGCUGCCUUUCCCCGAAGAACUCACUCGGGAAGCCGUCAGAUUAGAAGAUAAUUCUGAAACAAAUGCCUGCCACUCUUUGAUUACAAAAAUGAUGGAUGAGCUGUAUCACCAUAUGCCUGAGAAUCAUUGUGUGUUAAAGGACUUGGAUCGUCUUCCUACUGAGAUGUGGCCCCAGCUUCUCCGUGAGCUCUGCAGCACACCUGUUCCCACCCUGUUCUGCCCCAGGAUUGUGCUGGAAGUGCUGGUUGUGCUCCGAAGCAU
RNAcentral lists this small RNA (658 nucleotides) under Pan troglodytes (chimpanzee). RNAcentral describes it as "retained intron". The record is from RNAcentral. Lineage: Eukaryota; Metazoa; Chordata; Mammalia; Primates; Hominidae.